UACGUAGGGGGCGAGCGUUGUCCGGAUUUAUUGGGCGUAAAGAGCUCGUAGGCGGUUCGAUAAGUCGGACGUGAAAUCUCCACGCUCAACGUGGAGGGGCCGUUCGAUACUGUCGUGACUCGAGUCCGGUAGGGGAGUGUGGAAUUCCCGGUGUAGCGGUGAAAUGCGCAGAGAUCGGGAGGAACACCCGUAGCGAAGGCGGCACUCUGGGCCGGUACUGACGCUGAGGCGCGAAAGCUAGGGGAGCAAACGGG
RNAcentral lists this ribosomal RNA (254 nucleotides) under uncultured bacterium. Its description in RNAcentral is "partial 16S ribosomal RNA". It matches the Rfam family "Bacterial small subunit ribosomal RNA", at positions 524 to 776 of the family's 1533-position model. The record is from RNAcentral.